Rhinopithecus roxellana (golden snub-nosed monkey) is the source of this 4806-nucleotide long non-coding RNA. RefSeq lists it as uncharacterized. The transcript has 3 exons. Lineage: Eukaryota; Metazoa; Chordata; Mammalia; Primates; Cercopithecidae. The record is from RefSeq and is a predicted model, not a curated record.
UAGAUUUUAGAAAUAGAUUUCCAUUAUCAUUUGGUAAAAUUUAGUCAUCUUCCAGAAAGCUAAAAGUUACCCGAGUCACCUGGGUCCUCAGCUCUCAAACUUGGGUAGGUAUCAGAAUCACCUGGAAGGUUCAUUAAAAAACAGAUUGCUUCUCCACUCUCCUCCCAUCCCCCCAUUCUGAUUUAGUAGGUCUGGGUGGGGCCCAGAAUUAUUUUUGUUUCUAAGUUCCCAGGAGAUACUGAUGUUUAGAGUCAUGAGACCCUGUUUUGUGGAGCACUGACUGUUACUUUCCAGCUGUUUCUGCCUGCCUUCUGUAUGUUAGAGAAAAAAAGAGCAUGUGUGUGUGUGUAUGUAUGUGUGUCUGUCUGUGUGUGUGGAGAAAGAGAUACCUUCAAAGGGUGGCACUGGAGCAGAAUCACGACUUUGGAAGUUCACCAAUGUAGGCUGAUGCACAAAUCUCAGGACUUACAUAACAGAGGAAGAAGUGAUGCCAUUUGUAAUAAAACUACAUUGUCUGCCCUUGCCCUGCAGGGCCCAGCCAGUGGUCAGGGGGAGGCAGCCCUCUGGGGUCUACUCACCCCUAUCUCCCUUAGGCAUCACACAAUUGAGGCAGAGCUGCAUAUUGCUUGUAGUUUGCUUAGACAAUUAUUUAUUUCCCAUAGAUGAUGCAAAGGUACACCUUUGUUCAGUCCUAAAUAUUAGGUUUUUGCUGGAUUCAUGCUUGGGGCAAGGGAUGCAUGCAUAUGUUGAUUUAUUUUUAAUUUCUCUGAUCAUUUUGCAUUUAUUUCAUUGCUAAAGGCAUGUCUCGCUCCCAUUCUGUCACAGGCAUAUUUACCGGGAAAAGAGCCCAACCCUGAAAGACUUUAAAGGCAGAUAAGGCUUCCCUCUUUAUCUGGCCAAGGGAAAUUAGCCUGGGCAAGAGUUCCAAUGAGCCAGCAGAGCUUCGGCUCUCUCCAGAAGUCAACCACCAGUUCAGCCCAACUGACCAACAUUCCUUUCUCCCAACUGAAAAGUAAACCAUCAAAUCUCACAGAUGACUGGAUUGCAGUCUCAUUAUUGAAAAAGUUGGUCCUGAUUCUCCGGGAAGGGCACCAAAUAACUAGUCUCAAAUGCACCUGGUUUUGAUUUCAAGCUGAAGCCCCUGGUCAUGUGCUUCCCUCCCUGGCUAUUGAAUUUCCAGAAUUGCUUCUCUUGGGAUCACCUAAGAGGCAGGCACCAGAAGGCCCACAUUUUACAACCUUGUAAAAAGACCCCCUCCCUUCAAAAAUAUUUUCAGUGAAACUCCCACACUCAUGUGGCUGAAGCGGAAAGGUUAGUUCACACUUAACAAGUUAGUAAAACUUCAUAGACUAAUGUAUGGAGGAGAUUCUCCCAUCAUUUCACACACCCACCAGGAUCUGAAAACCUGUGAACUGACUAUUCAGGCUGCCGCUGACGAGGUCCAGUGGGGUUUCUUCUCUCUUAAGAGAAAGGAAUCAGAAUCCAAAUGACCUGGAUAAAGCACAGCCUUACUUUAAGAAAUGGGAUUACUUGGCAGAGAAUCAGAAACUUUCUCUUGGAAAGGAGGGCAUAUGUUGUUGCCUAAUCUUUAAGAUGAACAAAUAAUAAAAAGUAUUUUUUAAAUAAGAUAAUCAUUUUAACAAGCCGUAAUAAUUCGACUUUCAUCUGUGAAUACACUCUCUGUUCUGUGGUCAGUAGGCUUCCUCUAUUUUUACUAAGUUUUCUUAUCAUUUCAAACAUAAUUUUUAAGAGGUAGGUAAAUGAAAGCUAUUGUACUGAUUUUCAAGAUAUGAAGGCCCAGAGAAAAACACUAGCAAGUCAAUGCCAGAAUGGGAAAUAGUCUAUGUACCCAUUUAUCACAUAGACCUAUAUUGCCUGCUUCCUUUACAUCCUUCCCUCUGCUCCUCCAGACCUUCCUGUGCCCACUGAACGAAGUCUACCCUCAAUGGCCUGCUACUGGAGGCUUCGCACAGUCUGGUGAAACCAAAUCUCUCUAUGACUCUCCAGCUAAGACUGUUUCCUGAGGGCACCUCCCACAGCUGUAUUGUCCUUUAGCUAGGAUGACAGUUUCCUCUCUCAAUACCAACUGUCAACGAGUAGCCCCCAGGUUUGUGGAAAGAGCUGGGACAGGAGGCCACACAGGCCUGGCUUCAGAUCCCAGUUCUUUCCUCACUCGGGAUAAGCCUUUGGGCAAGUCCUUUAACCUCUCUGAGUCUGAGAUUAGUCAACUGUGAAAUGGGGAUGUAGGUUGUUUGUUGCAAGGAUAAAAUUAAGAAUACUUACAUAAUAUGCCUAAAAGUGCUUGGCACUCAGCACAUUCUCUGUAGAUGGCCACUAGAGCUAAUCUUUUCUGCAAACCCUUCCCUGAUGACUCCAGUUACUACUGAUCUUCUUCUGACAAAAGUUUGUGCCACUUACUUUCUGCUAUGUUUUUACUUCAUUUUAUGUACCUCAUGUCCCCAAAUAGCCUGCAAGUGGCAGAACAGUAUCAGCUGUUCUCUCUGUGUCCACUCCUCACUCCACACCAUUGGUCACUCAGUGUUGGGCUUAUUAUCCUCCUUUCUGUUGGAAACUUAAAUUUGCCUUGGGACAGAGAAAGUGCUACACCCUAAGAUUCAGGUAAUGGGGUUCUCUUCUGCCAUGGACCUUGCCUCAAAGCAACAUGGGAUCCCAGGAUCUGCUGCAAUGCCAAGAAGUUUACUUAUACUUCAGGCAUUUCUAUUUACUAAAAGCAAGGGCAAUUUAAAUAAUUUUUAUCUCUUAUAUGGGAUUUUCUUUUUUCUGACAUUCUCUUCUAUCCUUUUCCCUUUUUGGCCUCAGUAAUAUAACUUCAAUUUUGGAAUGAAAGUUGGGGGAUGAAUAUAAUUUCAUCUGCAGAAAUGAGCUGCCUGUCUAGCACAGGGAUCAUCAAGUUUUAAUGUAAAAGUUGAAAUAGUAAAUCUUUCCAGCUUUCAGGCCAUUCUGUCUCUGUCAUGAUGACUUGACUCUGGCAUUGCUGUCCACAAGCAGCCAGGGAAAAUACAUAAACAAGUGGGUGUAAAACUUUAUUAACCACUAUGGGCAGGGGGCUGGAUUUGGCCUCUGCCUGUGGUCUGCCCAGUUCUGGUCUAGCCUACCACUUCUGAGGACACAUUCUGUAAUUAGGAUUAUGUAAGACAAGACUUCACUCUACUUCAACAGUAUUUAUAGGUCUCCAAAGAAUCGAAUGAAGUCUGAUUUUCUGAGUCACAAUGGAAAUAGUAAGGUGGGUGGUUGUGAAAGAAAUCCCAACAUUAGAAAAUACAGGCAUUCUAAAGAUUAAUGUCUGGGCAAAAGAACACACUGUGUUUUUCUACUAAAAAACACGAAAUGAGAAACAAGCAUGGUGGGGAAGUGGCCACUACCCAAAGCCUCUUGAGUAUGCCCCACAUUUACAGUUUGCCUGGGUUUAGAGACACUGCCCUUUUCCAAGAGCCAGAGGCCCCAAAUGGAAACUUUACCCUUCCUUUUUGCUGUCUAUGAAUCAACAGAAAGAUUCCUCCUGUGACCCUUGGACUCCUGAGGAGGACAAUGCAGCGCUCCAGGCUGUUUUCUCCAGCACGUUCAUGGUGGGUGGAUGAGAUUCCCUCUCCAUCCCAGCACAGUGAUGGGCUUGUUCAGGCUUGGCACGAUUGGCCAACAGCCCCAACCCGCCUGGACAAUAGGAACAUUCAACAAUCUGAGUACCAAUUGCUUGAAGUGAAUGCAGGCAGCCUGGCUCCAGGACCUACACUCUGCUAUGGGAUCUCUUCAUCUGUCUGCAUCCCUGCUGCCCUUGUGCCACUGGGAUCAGCCAACACAAUGGGCAAACCAUAAAGCCAGAAGGCUUUUGCAGAAACCCCGUUCCCUCCACUCUCUGAUGAAGUCAACGCGAGAACGCCCGCACCUCACCUCGGCACUCCACGUCAGGGUCUCCCCAGAAGAGUUCCUGGCACUCGCUGCAGGUGCGGCCUCCAAACCCAGGCAUGCACUGGCACUGCCCUGUGAACUGUGGCCAGAACACAGACCUUAGUCAAGCAGGCUUCAGGCCAGAAGCCAGUUGUCAUCUUUUUUUUCUAGCUGCCAGUUAGAAGUGGGAAUGAACUGUUCACCUGAGAAGGUCUCCAUUGACUAGGAAAAGGGACUCCCGCUUCGAUCGUAGGUGUCGAGAGCCCCAUGCCAGCAUCUAACUGCUCUUUUGCAACAGGGCUUGGAAAGGUCUGUGGCAUAUUAUUAUUUAUUUACCUGUUUCCUCACUUUUAUCCUCGCAGAUCAGCCACAAUCCUGGGCCACCUUUGACUCGCCUGACUUAGGGAGUAUGUCCUUAGUAUGUGUCAGGAAACAACAGCACUUUUUACAAUGCUGGGUAUGGCUAACUGGUUCCUUUCAAGUUGAGAAGCUAAGAAAAAAGUCUGCUUCAGCGGCCAGGUACUGAAGAGAAGAGAAAUAGCACACCCUUGCCUAUUCUUAUGUGAGUCUGCAUCUGCAGCUGGGACCCUCUAUUGAAAUGCUAUGGGUGUGUCUGAUGGGGAGUCUGUGCACAGUUAUGUAGACCCAGCCAAGGGGUACAAAUGAAGGCUGAGAUCCAGGCCACGCUGUGUUUGCCAAGCCAUGUGCCCUGGGGCCUUGCUCUAACUGGGGCAAAGUCACCAUAAGCUGACCCUGGGCUCCUAAAGGCAUCAUCCCCAGCAGCAGUCCCUCACCUCAUUGCAAGAUGGCCCGAAGGAAUGAGCAGCGUUGCAGUUGCAUGGGUCACAGCCAGUGCCACUGGCCAGCUGCCAGGUAUUAGGUGCACAGCGGUCACAGUUC